This is a long non-coding RNA of Seriola dumerili (greater amberjack), 217 nucleotides long. RefSeq lists it as uncharacterized. NCBI's taxonomy places the organism in Eukaryota, Metazoa, Chordata, Actinopteri, Carangiformes, Carangidae. The record is from RefSeq and is a predicted model, not a curated record. The transcript has 3 exons.
UGAACUCAUCCCUGUACAUAUAAAGAGAGGCAUAUCUGGCAAUUAGUAGAGCCCAGAUAUAACCUAUGAAUCUCAGUGCUCACUUUGUUCUCUGCCCUUUUGUCUUUGACUCUGAAUCAAUGGACAGUUGAUCCAUGGCCUUAUCUCCGGGAGGGACAAAUUCAAAGAUCAGCUGGAGAAGCUCGACAAACGUUCAGUCAAUUACAACCCAGCACAG